GGACUGUGACAAAAUUUGAACGGUCCGUUUCAAUUUUGAUCCGUUCCCACCGCUGUGAUCCAUGAAAUUUGAGUGGACUGGUUAAAAUUUGAACAGUCCACCCAUCGACCGAUGCAACUCAUCCCGCUGUGCCCUUUUUCUCUUCUCCAUCUCCAGAAAGUUCUAAAUUCUCUCCACCUCACCCUCCAUCGCCUCUCUCUUCCAUGUCGGUGCGUCCAGAUUCACGAGUUCCUCCACACCAGUGCCUCCGUAGUCGCUCGCUCUACCACUCGCUCCCACCGACUGCUCCCACC
RNAcentral lists this long non-coding RNA (293 nucleotides) under Elaeis guineensis (African oil palm). RNAcentral's name for it is "long non-coding RNA (EGUI_LNC011592)". Lineage: Eukaryota; Viridiplantae; Streptophyta; Magnoliopsida; Arecales; Arecaceae. The record is from RNAcentral.